RNAcentral lists this transfer RNA (71 nucleotides) under Anguilla anguilla (European eel). Its description in RNAcentral is "tRNA-OTHER". The record is from RNAcentral. Lineage: Eukaryota; Metazoa; Chordata; Actinopteri; Anguilliformes; Anguillidae.
GUCCUGCAGGCUCAUGGUAAGGAACCGGGCUUGUAACCGAAAGGUCAUAGGUUCGAUUCCUGGGUAGGACA